CCCCUAACUGUUCCAAAAGUAUAAAAGCAAAAAGGGAACUUUGUUCAGGGUCUCAGACCAAGUCCUGUGUUCUGACGGGCCACUGAGACCCUAGUUCGAACUAGCAAUAAAGACCUGUUUUGCUCUUGCAUCUCACGACUGAGCCUGGUGACUGCGGCUCCACACGGGGGACUCAAGGAAAUGGGGAACAACAUUUGGGGGCUUGUCCGGGAUCCCCGUGAGGAGCAGCAACCCCAGCCACUGGGAUUUAUUCUGGCACCUAUCAGUACAAAACUGAAGUCAGAAAACAUCUAGGAGGUGCUUAGGAUGGAAGGAAAAAGAACAUGGGGCCUGAAUCACAGUACAAAAGGAUCAUUUGCUCCUGAGCCCAAUGAACAUGCCCUUGGGUGAUGGAGAAAGAAGCUCCCUCCUAUCUACAGAGCUGCUCAUCUCUCCCACCUGUUGAAAGGCCUUUGUGGAGUAGAGGCCUUUGAUAAGAAUUCAUAUGGGAUCCAAACAUACCACCCUAUCUCCCGGGAUUAUUGAGAGGAAUCAAUGAGCCAGAAAACUUCUGCUGACUUUGAUCCAAUCCAAUACUAGUUACUUUAAUAAAAAAAAAAAAGGUAUGCUUGUUUUGAAAACAAAAUCACAACAUCAGGUUGAAGAGCUGUGGUUGCCCUGAACUUCCUGAUUGAUUCUAUUCAUGGGUAUAUGUAAAUUACAGCAAAGUUUAUUCAC
Manis pentadactyla (Chinese pangolin) is the source of this 717-nucleotide long non-coding RNA. RefSeq lists it as uncharacterized. The record is from RefSeq and is a predicted model, not a curated record. NCBI's taxonomy places the organism in Eukaryota, Metazoa, Chordata, Mammalia, Pholidota, Manidae. The transcript has 4 exons.